AAGUGUGUGAUAAGUGGCAAAGUCGGAAAUUUUAUUAAGGUGGAUCAGGGAAGAAAAAAGGCUAAUAAGUGCAAGAGGUGCAACGGCAUAUACAGAGAGAUGGGAUAGAAAGAGGAAUGUCUGUCUAAUUGGUAAGUAUGUUGAUUCAAAAAGUAGAGAUUUAUAAAGAUUAAGAAAAACAUUGGCUUUAGAAGAAGAAGAAAAAAUCUAAUAUCAUGAACGGAUCCAACCAUAUGCAUGAAUGGUCCCCAAAAACUCAUCUAUCUAGGUCAUAUAAUUGACAGAUUCGUCCCGCAAAAAGAUGCUUAUAAAGUCAAAGAAAUUGACC
RNAcentral lists this long non-coding RNA (328 nucleotides) under Prunus persica (peach). RNAcentral describes it as "long non-coding RNA (PPER_LNC006456)". The record is from RNAcentral. Lineage: Eukaryota; Viridiplantae; Streptophyta; Magnoliopsida; Rosales; Rosaceae.